This 301-nucleotide ribosomal RNA is filed under the name uncultured bacterium. RNAcentral's name for it is "partial 16S ribosomal RNA". It matches the Rfam family "Bacterial small subunit ribosomal RNA", at positions 509 to 807 of the family's 1533-position model. The record is from RNAcentral.
CAGUCGCCGCGGUAAUACGAAGGGGGCUAGCGUUGUUCGGAUUUACUGGGCGUAAAGCGCACGUAGGCGGACUUUUAAGUCAGGGGUGAAAUCCCGGGGCUCAACCCCGGAACUGCCUUUGAUACUGGGAGUCUUGAGUUCGAGAGAGGUGAGUGGAAUUGCGAGUGUAGAGGUGCAAUUCGUAGAUAUUCGCAGGAACACCAGUGGCGAAGGCGGCUCACUGGCUCGGUACUGACGCUGAGGUGCGAAAGCGUGGGGAGCAAACAGGAUUAGAUACCCCUGUAGUCCCUGUCUCUUAUAC